Molecule: long non-coding RNA, 2214 nt
Organism: Pyrgilauda ruficollis (rufous-necked snowfinch)
Lineage: Eukaryota; Metazoa; Chordata; Aves; Passeriformes; Passeridae
Exons: 3
Source: RefSeq, a predicted model, not a curated record
GGGACACGCAGAGAGGUCGCUGCUGCUGCCGGCCCUGCGGGAGCCCGGGGCUCAGGAGGGCGCUGCCAGCUCUGGCUGCGCUGUCCCCGCUGCCCAGAGCUGCGGCAGCAGCUGCGGAGACAAGCGCAGCCUCCGGGAGCUCGGCGCUGCCCGCAGCCCCGGCCCCUGUGGCUCUGCAGCCGCUGCAGCCCAGCUCCGUGCCGGGACAGGCGCUGACAGCGGCUGCGAGCUGCCGCCUGCUGCUGGCCCGGGGCAGCUGCGGCUCGGAGUCCGCCUGCCGAGGGCCGAGAGCCAGCAGCGCCGGGCUGCUCGCCGCUGUGCCCCGCAUUGCCUGCCCCGGCGCCUUGGAGCCCGGGCACACCGAGCUCAGCCGGCACGGCCGCUCUGGCUCCCUGCCCGUGUGAAAAUGACCAGAUAACUUUGGCUUUCACAUUUACCUAUUCGCCCAUGCAUGUUGUUAGUGAUUACAGUUAUUUCGAUAUAGUAUCAAUUAUAACUCUUUUUAGGUCAAUGCUAAUAUAAUAUAUAAUAUAUAAUAUUCAGCUUAAUUAUGCACUGCAUUGCUCAUAGAAAUAGUAGUGUGAAGUAUAUAACAUCUAUGUAUCACUUAUGGAAAUAACAUGAAUGUACUGUUAUUGAUCUUAACAAAACAUCAGAAGUGAAAAAUUAUUUUGGUGACUAAAAACAGUGUGAAUUCAUCCACUGAGUCACCCAUCCAAUUGUUAUAUGUAGAUAAUGAUAUUAUUUGCUCUUGCAAUUAAAAGAGAAAUAUUGGGUGAAUAUUAAGAAAAGCUUUAGUGAUGUAUAGUUAUGUUGUUGUAGUUCAGGUGUCUCUGUUUUCCCCGUAGUUCCCUUUUCCCUUUGUAUUGUACCCAUCAGACAGCAGGGGGUGUCCAGGACAGGUAGAAGAAAAGCGUGCACAUGUGCACCUUGCAUGGGGCAGUUGAUAAUAGAAAAGCGUGUUGCUUAGGGAGCGAGGCAAGGCAACACUUGACCUCCAAUCCAGUUACAAGAACGCAGUCUCCACCCAUAAAUGGCAAGGAAGAGCUGACUGACAGACUUUGGGAGCGGCCAGGGCUGGCUGAUGCAACCCCCAGGAGUAUAAAAGCCUGAGCACCCAUCUUGAAGUGGAACUGGCAAGCAGUUGUUUCUCACACAAGUGGUAAGAUAACUGUGACACAAACCAGAACACUGGAGGACAAGCAGAGAAGACCAUGUUAAAAUUAAGGAGGACAGCUAAAAUAUUACCAGAGGGUGUGAAACAGCAGGCUGGAGGCACCGGAAGAAAUAAAAAAUAUUAACCGCACAGCCAGGACAUCAUGCAUGCAAGUCUGAGUGUGAAGGAGUCAGAAAAAGGAGUUCCCAAAACAUUAGAAAGUUCGAAAGAAUGUCUGAAUAAUGCAUCAAAGACACGAAUAUAUAACACAGCAGAGUGGGGGUUGUUCUGCACUAUGGCUGUGAUCCACUGGGAGCUCUUCAGUGUUUCAUUGCUAUGGAUCCAUGAAUGCUGGGAGAAUAUUGUCUCAAAUUCCUGAGGCAGUCACUGCUGAUGUCUUGGUUCCAUCAGGUGGACUCACUGAUUUUUAGAACAGGCAUUGUUCAUAAGAUGUCAUUACCUUGUUUAUAGCUGGCUUUUCACAAACUUUGGCACAUCUUUGUGUAACUGCCCACAGACACGUGUCACUUUGGCAUCUCUGGUUUGUUCUGCAGCUGCAGGUGCCUCUCUCUGAACAGGCUGUCUGCAGCCUUCCCUGCACUGCCUCCUCAGCCUUUGGUCCCUUCUCUUGUUUCAGCAGGGCUGCUGUGCCUUGACCCAGGGCUGGCUCCUGAUUCUCCUGUGGUUUCAGAGCUCCAGGAUAAGAUCUCUGGGCUCUGUGGAAAGCCCCAUCUGAGCUGAGGCUCCUGUGGUCUGUACCGACCCCUGUGUGACACAUCCUUGUGGGACAGGGCUGUGAGCUGCUGAGGGCAAGGCUGCUCUGCUCUGUGGCAAUCAGACACAGCCCCAGGUAUUCUCCCAGGAGCACUGCAGCAGUUUGCUGUCUUUGGGCAUCUCACAGCUGCUAUUAUUGACAGACUUGCUUUUAAGGUGUGUGAGGGAGACCCUCCCACUGAGGGUCUGGGCUCUGGCCAGGCCCUGCCUCCACCUGCUCGGAAAAUUGCCAACAAACCCAGGUGUUUUCUGCCUCAAAACUCGAUUCAAGUCUCUUGCACUUG